ACAAAUGACACUGAUCUAACAUCAGUUUUGCGUUUCUCUCACAAACGAUAAAGGCUAUAAAUGUGGUGUUCUGUAAAGUGGUCCCAGAUCUGUGCAUAAGGGAACUUAACCUGAGAGGUAUACCAAGGAUAGGGUAUGGCUUUAAAACCCUCUAGUUUACAUUGACGUCACAGGAAGGCGGCUCUCCGCGCGCACAGGUGUUCUCCACAGGUGAUGGCGAGGAAAUGAAAAUGGUGCUUCUUGAAAAACAAGUUCAACUCUUCACUGAAGUUAUUUGACCUCAUCACAGCUUAGGCAUGGCUCUAAACUGCCUGGGGAACUGUGCGCCGUUAUUUUUCCUAGCCAUCGCUUUUGACGUCGGCGGUUUGACAUUGCUUUUAGUUGGUAUUUUCGCGGAUCUAAAGUUGGACGGUCACUUCUACGGUGAUUUCCUCAUCUACACGGGUACACUCAUCAUCUUCCUAAGUCUGGGUUGGUGGAUUUUGUGGUACACGGGCAACAUAAAGGUUUCCUCCGAGGACUUUGAGAAAAGCACCCUGGACAACUUUGCGCACUGGGCGAGAAAGUUUUCGGAGCGGCUCUCGAAGAGCGGGAUAAAAACUCUGGAAGCCGGGGAGAAGUGCAUGGUGAAUAGGAAGGAAUCGGUCAACAGGACAGUGCCUGUUCACGCUCCAUCACGAAUUACGUGGGAGCACAGCAUCAGCGUGACAGGACACGACAAUGGAGGAUACGACCGACGUUUUGACAACCCGCCGACGGAGAAAACGGUCGAGCUGGGGAUUCUGAAGAAGUCUGAAGUGUUAUUGCAAAGCGUUGUGGAUAGCAAAGCGGAGAGGCUUCUCUGACAGAGCUGGUGAUCUCGGAUUCUCCAGUUUGAAAAACGUAUGCCUACCCCAAGCGCUGCUUUUCAAAUCCCAACCGACUGAAUACCUUUUUAGCCUAUAGGAACCAAAGACACUUUUUCAAUAGAGAAUACUAUUUUCGUUCAGGAAGAGGCCGUCUGACACAAUGGCCGGGCCCUACACUGAGGAUAGAAAUGGCAGAAUUUUACUUGUAAUUAGCGAAAUAAUUAAAUGUAUUAUGUCCUAAAUUUUACAUGGUUCAUUUUGAAGAUAUUUUCUUUAAAUAAAGUUUCUUAUUUUUUCUAACGUCAUAUCUCUGAGUUGUUAAUCAGACAUCAUUGACUGGAUAGCUCACAGUUAGACAUCAAAAACAUUAUACUUCAAAAUCCAUGAGGGACAUAAACAAAUCAAAACACAUCUUCCAAAGCUCAGAUCCUAUGAUUUAUUAAUGUAUAGUGUAUGUUUGUAUCUGGUUAGGUAGGUAGUAUUGAUAUGCUAUUUGACUUCUGUUUGUGUUGUGUAAGAGCAGGUGUGUUGAUAGCACUAUGCUGGCUGUCUGCCACUGGUUAUACUGAUAGAUCCCUAUAUGUAUGUAUGUAUGUAUGUAUGUAUGUGAGAUAUAUAUCUCACACACACACACAGAGAGCGAGAGAGACGAUAGAGAAUGUAUCGUGUAGAACAAUUUUUUAAUUUUUUUUUUAUCUGGAACAUUCUGAACCUUGCGGAAUACACACUGGCACAAGGGCUGCAUCUCCAUUCCAUAUUUAAUUUUUAAUUUAACCUUUAUUUAACUAGGCAAGUCGGCUAAGAACAAAUUCUUAUUUACAAUGACGGCCUAGGAACAGUGGGUUAACUGCCUUGUUCAGGGCCAGAACAACAGAUUUUUACCUUGUCAGUUUGGGGAUUCGAUCUAGCAACCUUUCGGGUACUGGCUUGUUACCUAUAAAAAAUAAAUGAACUCUCCGUUAGUUAUUGGAGUGUUAGUUUGCGAAGAUGUUUCUCAUGUCUAUCAAACAUUAAUAUUCCCCAACCUUUUGAAGCCACCUGUAGGGCAUAGGAUAAGCACCCAACCAACCCCUAGUGUUGGUAUGUUUUAUGAACUGGAAACGUGUCCAAAACCCCCACAACAGAGCUGGAGGAAGAACAUUUAACCUUUUUGUCAUCGUUAGUGAGACUAACGCACACGUUCCCCCUGGCAGCAGUCCCGCUAUGGGAACUAUGUGAGAUGUGAAGUGUGAUAGGUCAAGCUCACUGGAAUGUAGCCUACACGGGCCUUUUUCUUAACACCACUUCCUUGCUUCCUCAUUCAGUCAGAUGCACUGUAGGGUAGAUUACCUGAACAAUGCAGAGAAAGUACAGGGAUAUAUGUAUGAGUAGUUAUCCUAGUGUAAACAUUGAAAUAGUCUUGUUACAGUGAAUGCAAGGGAAAAUAGCUAGCAGCCAUAGAAUCAUUAGAAGUGGUAUUUACAUAGUGGUAGGAGGAGAAACACCUUCACGACAGACACUCUCUUCACCAUGGGCUACACUCAGUACUUGGGCCGCUGCCUUCUCUUCUUCUUCAUCGCCAUCUUCCUGGAUGCUGUGGGCCUCAUCCUGUUCUUCCUGGGCAUCUUUGCACCCUUCAGCUUCUGGGACUUUUUGGUCUUCUCUGGGCCCAUCAUCAUCUUCCUCAGCCUGUUCUUCUGGAUCUUCUGGUACGUAGGCAACCUGGAGGUUGAUGUGGACGACGUUCUGCCCAAGUGACUUACUUCUGGGGAUUGGAGAGAGACGGUGGUGGGGGUGGUGUGGACUGGUGAUGAGAUUCUAGCCAGUGGGGCAGAAAUGGACAUGGAGUGAAAAUGUAGUAUUUACAACAGAGCACUUUUGAAGACAGAAGAUCCACCCUGGACAUCAAUUACUCAAUCUCUGCUAGAGCUAGGUGUGUUAUUCUGACAUUGUUGUUCCAUAAAGAGAGAAUUAUAGAUUUGCUAACUGUUUCCUUCUGCUCAGGUCUGUCUUAAUAUAUUUAGGUCUGUCUUAAUAUAUCUCGAUAGGACUUCUUGGUUUAAUGUAUAAACAUUUGUUUUGGAGUAAGUACUUCAAUACUUUAAUGUAUUAUGUUCUCUUUCAAGUGAUCAUUCUUUGCUGGAACUGCAGUACUGAAUAAUGGAUCAUUAGGGGAUGUUUACACUGACUCAACAAGGUGAAGACUUUCACCUAAACGUGAGAGAUGAGCUUGUUUUUUGGUUUCCUGGGAUUCCUCGCUUUGUAUAAUGUCGAUGCGGUUUUGUUUUUGAGGCUGUGCAUUUUGUUUGUUUAUCAACUUUUAAAAAGAUUACACUGAAUUAAAUUGUACAAUCGCAUUUGACUUUUUAGAUAAAUGUUUUUUUUAAAGCACUGUUACUUUACAUUUGAAA
This is a non-coding RNA of Salmo salar (Atlantic salmon), 3238 nucleotides long. NCBI's taxonomy places the organism in Eukaryota, Metazoa, Chordata, Actinopteri, Salmoniformes, Salmonidae. The record is from RefSeq and is a predicted model, not a curated record.